AUGAAAUGCAUUUUUUCUGGAUCCAGAUUCAAGCACAAGCCUCCACUACCUUGGUCAGCAAGAACCAUGUCAGUAGGGGUUGCAGUAAUUGUUCUUCUAGUUGGGCAUAUAUUUCAUGCAGCUUUAAACCGCAUUGAGGAGGUAGAAGAUGAUUAUUGUCAAAUGAGAGAGCUGAAAGUCCAAGCAGAAUCUGCUGAUGUUGCAAAAUCUCAGUUUCUGGCAACAGUUUCCCAUGAAAUCAGGACUCCGAUGAAUGGUGUCUUAGGUAUGUUGCAGAUGCUGAUGGACACAGAUCUUGAUGCAACCCAACAAGAUUUUGCAAUGACUGCUCAAUCAAGUGGAAAGGCUCUGAUAGCUCUAAUAAAUGAGGUUCUUGAUCAGGCUAAGAUAGAAUCUGGCAGACUUGAAUUAGAGGCUGUUCCUUUUUGAUCUUUGUGAUGUUCUGGACAAUGUGCCGUCUCUUUUUUCAGAUAAAUCACAAGCCAAAGGCAUAGAGAUGGCAGUGUAUGUAUCUGAACGAGUUCCAGAGAUUCUAAUUGGAGACCCUGGAAGGCUCAGGCAGAUCAUCACAAAUCUUGUUGGAAACUCAGUGAAGUUCACAGAAGUGGGGCAUAUAUUUGUUUCAGUAGAUUUAGUCGAAGAAGUAGAGAGAGAGAAAGAUGUGUUGUGUGAGACUUUGAGUGGGUUCAAAGUAGCAGACAAACAAAAAGUCUGGGAGAAUUUCACAAUGUUCAAAUCUUCGACUGAAGGUAAUGACGCAAUCAACUUGAUGGUGACUGUUGAAGACACUGGUGUCGGAAUACCUCAAGAUGCUCAGAACCGUAUUUUUACUCCAUUUAUGCAAGCUGAUGGUUCUCCUUCACGGACAUAUGGUGGGACAGGAAUAGGCCUAAGCAUUAGCAAAUGCUUAGUUGACCUUAUGGGAGGAGAGAUAGGACUUGUAAGUAAGCCAGGGAUUGGCAGUACAUUUUCUUUCACUGCUGUGUUCAAGGAAGGAUGCAGAAAUUCAGGUGAUGCAAAGAGGCAUCAUUCUGACCCAGCUUUAUCAGAUUUCCAAGGUAUGAGAGGACUGGUAGCUGAUGGGAGAUGUAUUCGUGCUAGAAUCACCAAGUAUCAUUUGCGAAGAUUGGGGAUUCAUGUUGAUGUUGUAAGCAACCAAGACUCUGCACUUGGUACCAUAUUGGAUGCAUGCAAUACCAGAUUGCAGGAAAAAUGGUGCAGCGAUGCCUUUAGGAAGUCUGCCAAAUAUGUUUCUGGUAGUAACUUCCCAAAGCCCCACCGAGGUUCAUGAACUGAAGUCAGCAGGAUAUGUUGAUAGUAUACUGAAACCACUGCGCCCAGGUAUCAUUGCUGCUUGUCUGUGGAAAGCACUAGGCAUGGAGCACAAGAGGCAGCAAUUCAAAGGCAAAUCAAUGCCACUUCAAAGUCUUCUCAGUGGA
Musa acuminata AAA Group (dessert banana) is the source of this 1439-nucleotide RNA transcript. It is a transcript of the gene named probable histidine kinase 5, with no coding region annotated. The record is from RefSeq and is a predicted model, not a curated record. Lineage: Eukaryota; Viridiplantae; Streptophyta; Magnoliopsida; Zingiberales; Musaceae. The transcript is spliced from 7 exons.